This is a small nucleolar RNA of Abrus precatorius (Indian licorice), 107 nucleotides long. The record is from RefSeq and is a predicted model, not a curated record. NCBI's taxonomy places the organism in Eukaryota, Viridiplantae, Streptophyta, Magnoliopsida, Fabales, Fabaceae.
AAAUCAUAAUGAGGACAUCUCCUCAAAAGUUAUCGAAACCACUCCCAUGUCUCGAAUAAGGAUUCUGCUUCAUGUUGUUAGAAGCAACAUAUCUCUGUCAUAAGCUU